UCUGGCUCUGGUUUCUUUCUCCCCUUGCUGGCUUUGAAGAAGCAAGCCACUCUAAAUCAGCAGCUAGACUGUGAGCAGUUUGGGAGGCAGACUGCAUGGGUUCAAGUCCUCUGCUUGCACUUGACCUGCCCCGUGAGCAGGGACGCAGAUGCUCCCCAGUCAAGCCUCUGGAUGAGACCACAGCCCUGGCCGGCACCUUGAUUUCAGCCUAAGCAGACGACCCUGCAGGGCUAGGCCCAGGCUUCUGACCCUCAGACACUUGCCCUGUGAACAUCGGGCAGGCUGCCAAGCAUGUGUGCAGCUGCUGAAGAUGGGGCUGUGUCAUGGGGGGCUCGAAGGCCAGCGUGAGGCGCUACAACUGAAUCCAGAGGCGAGGGAGCUGGGAAGACUGCCGAGCAAUGGGCGCUCUGCAGAACCCAGCAACCGGCAGCUGAUGGGGCUGAGCUUGUCCAGUGGUCCCGCUCCCCCAGGCUCAGGGGAAGGAGGACAGUGGUUGCUUCUCCUGGCCAGCACCAAUGCCUUGCUCUGUGUCACAGCUUCUAAUUCUGUAGGAACUACCUGGCCCCAUUCAGAGUCCCCUGCCCAAUGCACUCAGCCUGGUUACUCAAGGGUUUCUGUCACCUCUGGCUACAGUGAAUGGUUCAGGGAAGGACACGUGACCUAAGUCAGGCCAGUGGGAGUCAGCCUCAGGUCUUCUGUUCAAAGCAGUUUGGCUUCCUAAACAGGAUGGCUGAAAAUCUGGAGCUGCUGACCCUGCCACAAGGAGAAAAACCCGCCUGAGAAUGAAGCCAAUUCAGCGGAAGUGGGACUGAGAGAUAAGAAAUGAGAGCUUUCCAAUGGCAUUGUAAGACUGCUGGAUCCAGCCAUGCCUGAGGCUGGAGCUGUGCAUGGACUUUUCAGUAACUAUAUUUACUGUGUUCCUUUUAUCUUAUAUGCCUUAUCUGGUUCAAAGGUCAUUUCUGCUUGCAACCAAAGGAGUCCUGGCUGACAGAUACUGUGUGUCUUUGGUCCCAAA
Long non-coding RNA from Pan troglodytes (chimpanzee), 1015 nucleotides. RefSeq lists it as uncharacterized. NCBI's taxonomy places the organism in Eukaryota, Metazoa, Chordata, Mammalia, Primates, Hominidae. The record is from RefSeq and is a predicted model, not a curated record. The transcript is spliced from 2 exons.